Molecule: unclassified non-coding RNA, 341 nt
Filed under: Thelymitra pauciflora
Lineage: Eukaryota; Viridiplantae; Streptophyta; Magnoliopsida; Asparagales; Orchidaceae
Description: partial contains external transcribed spacer and 18S ribosomal RNA
Source: RNAcentral
GAUUGUGGCAUGACUUUUGACGAAAAGAGAAACCGCGCCCUUCGCAUCAAUAGCAGUGAUGACGGGGGUGCGAUGUGGCAUCCGUCCUCUAACAUUGUUCGGCGGGCUUCGCCUGUCGGGCCGAUGACAGUGGGCGGUGCUUCUUUGGAAUAAAUGCGGCUGAUUCAUGAUUGUCUUGGUGCCAUGCGCACCUUGCUCGUUGCUCGGCAUGUUGCCUCAAUCCUCCGCGCAACUGCGCUCCCUCGUUUGCGUCCACCCUAGCGGUGGCGCCUGCGGGGGCAGCGUGCAAGUUGUCUCGAGGUUGUGCUACCUGGUUGAUCCUGCCAGUAGUCAUAUGCUUG